GUGUGUGUGCGUGCAGGCACGCUGCAUCCAUUGAAAAAAAUUCCAUACACACACACAUGCACGAAGUAGUUGCAGUCGUGUAAACGCACAUGAAGGGUGCGCAACGCCGUUCAUUCACCUACAUUGCCCAUUCAUGCCGUUUGUCGAUUAAUAAAUCCCUACGCGACUUUGCCGUGUAUUGUUGCAGCUCAUUCAUCGGAAUCGGACAAACCAAAAACAGAAAUUUGGCGAAGUUGCACGCACUCAUCAAACAAUUUAUAACCAGGUCUCUAUAUUGUGCAGGUAAACGACCAUGGUUGUGUAUAAAAAUAAAGUGCAAGUGAUAUUUAAAAUUGGCAGUGCAUCUGCCUGAAACUUAUUUGUGUGUUAUGAAAAAAGUAUAAAAUUAAAUUUAAACAAAGAACUGAUGUGCGGAUAGAUAGAUUGUCAACCAACAAAAAUAGGAUAUCCAAACGGCUUCAAAUCGCUGCAUAAGGAGUAAACUGCUGAUUGGCGUAUUUCAAGAACAUAAUUCAGUGGUGUUUCCGUCAAAGGAAAAGGAACUCCAUAUGACUUUUUUCAGCGGGAUUUGGCUUUCUUUCUUUUCUUUGAUUUUUAUGUGGGAUCUACUGGUUAGCUUCCCGGAUUGGUAAUGUUGCCUGUUCCAAGUGUUAUCCACUGGCAGUUUCCCAGGUCUUUUGGCCGUUUCCAGAACCUUUUCGUUGCCUGGAACCCCUGUGCCGCACCUGGCGAUACAAAAAUAAUUGUUGGGGAUGCCCGCUUCUUUUUCGUCCAAGUCGGAUGGCGUUGUCCAAUUGUGGAUUUAUGCGCGGCGUUAUUCCUAAAUAGAACACAAAAACUUAACACAACACAUCCGACAUAACAUCACUUACAAAUCAACACUUACAAAUUGUUUAGAUACGCCACACAAAUAAAACAAUAAAACACACAAAUUGUAACUGCCAA
Musca domestica (house fly) is the source of this 945-nucleotide long non-coding RNA. RefSeq lists it as uncharacterized. The record is from RefSeq and is a predicted model, not a curated record. Lineage: Eukaryota; Metazoa; Arthropoda; Insecta; Diptera; Muscidae. The transcript has 5 exons.